RNAcentral lists this transfer RNA (55 nucleotides) under Triodontophorus nipponicus. Its description in RNAcentral is "tRNA-Tyr". Lineage: Eukaryota; Metazoa; Nematoda; Chromadorea; Rhabditida; Strongylidae. The record is from RNAcentral.
AAAGAAUAUAGUUUAAGUAAAAAUAUUAGAUUGUAAAUCUAAAGUUUAGAUUCUU